AGAGUUUGAUCAUGGCUCAGAUUGAACGCUGGCGGCAGGCCUAACACAUGCAAGUCGAACGGUAACAGGAAACAGCUUGCUGUUUCGCUGACGAGUGGCGAACGGGUGAGUAAUGUCUGGGAAACUGCCUGAUGGAGGGGGAUAACUACUGGAAACGGUAGCUAAUACCGCAUAACGUCGCAAGACCAAAGAGGGGGACCUUCGGGCCUCUUGCCAUCGGAUGUGCCCAGAUGGGAUUAGCUUGUUGGUGGGGGUAACGGCUCACCAAGGCGACGAUCCCUAGCUGGUCUGAGAGGAUGACCAGCCACACUGGAACUGAGACACGGUCCAGACUCCUACGGGAGGCAGCAGUGGGGAAUAUUGCACAAUGGGCGCAAGCCUGAUGCAGCCAUGCCGCGUGUAUGAAGAAGGCCUUCGGGUUGUAAAGUACUUUCAGCGGGGAGGAAGGGAGUAAAGUUAAUACCUUUGCUCAUUGACGUUACCCGCAGAAGAAGCACCGGCUAACUCCGUGCCAGCAGCCGCGGUAAUACGGAGGGUGCAAGCGUUAAUCGGAAUUACUGGGCGUAAAGCGCACGCAGGCGGUUUGUUAAGUCAGAUGUGAAAUCCCCGGGCUCAACCUGGGAACUGCAUCUGAUACUGGCAAGCUUGAGUCUCGUAGAGGGGGGUAGAAUUCCAGGUGUAGCGGUGAAAUGCGUAGAGAUCUGGAGGAAUACCGGUGGCGAAGGCGGCCCCCUGGACGAAGACUGACGCUCAGGUGCGAAAGCGUGGGGAGCAAACAGGAUUAGAUACCCUGGUAGUCCACGCCGUAAACGAUGUCGACUUGGAGGUUGUGCCCUUGAGGCGUGGCUUCCGGAGCUAACGCGUUAAGUCGACCGCCUGGGGAGUACGGCCGCAAGGUUAAAACUCAAAUGAAUUGACGGGGGCCCGCACAAGCGGUGGAGCAUGUGGUUUAAUUCGAUGCAACGCGAAGAACCUUACCUGGUCUUGACAUCCACGGAAGUUUUCAGAGAUGAGAAUGUGCCUUCGGGAACCGUGAGACAGGUGCUGCAUGGCUGUCGUCAGCUCGUGUUGUGAAAUGUUGGGUUAAGUCCCGCAACGAGCGCAACCCUUAUCCUUUGUUGCCAGCGGUCCGGCCGGGAACUCAAAGGAGACUGCCAGUGAUAAACUGGAGGAAGGUGGGGAUGACGUCAAGUCAUCAUGGCCCUUACGACCAGGGCUACACACGUGCUACAAUGGCGCAUACAAAGAGAAGCGACCUCGCGAGAGCAAGCGGACCUCAUAAAGUGCGUCGUAGUCCGGAUUGGAGUCUGCAACUCGACUCCAUGAAGUCGGAAUCGCUAGUAAUCGUGGAUCAGAAUGCCACGGUGAAUACGUUCCCGGGCCUUGUACACACCGCCCGUCACACCAUGGGAGUGGGUUGCAAAAGAAGUAGGUAGCUUAACCUUCGGGAGGGCGCUUACCACUUUGUGAUUCAUGACUGGGGUGAAGUCGUAACAAGGUAACCGUAGGGGAACCUGCGGUUG
RNAcentral lists this ribosomal RNA (1523 nucleotides) under Escherichia coli NCCP 15655. RNAcentral's name for it is "bacterial SSU rRNA". It matches the Rfam family "Bacterial small subunit ribosomal RNA". The record is from RNAcentral. Lineage: Bacteria; Pseudomonadati; Pseudomonadota; Gammaproteobacteria; Enterobacterales; Enterobacteriaceae.